UAGGCGGUAUUCUGAAACUGAUCAUGUUAUGGAAUGGACAGCUUAUUGGUUUUGUGUGCUUCAUACUAUGUGGUCCAAGAAUGCUAAAGUAACGAAGUGGUGGGUGCUUGCGAAGCCAUGUCUGAUGAACUGCGGGCAGGGGAUAUGUAAUAAAUAGGAUUGAUAAUGUGAAGGCGGGGUUGUUUGCUGCAGUGUUUUGUAAUUAAUUUUCAGUAAUGAUAUUUACCUGGAUGCCUUUUGAAAAACACAUAUAUUUG
Molecule: long non-coding RNA, 257 nt
Filed under: Theobroma cacao (cacao)
Lineage: Eukaryota; Viridiplantae; Streptophyta; Magnoliopsida; Malvales; Malvaceae
Description: long non-coding RNA (TCAC_LNC002085)
Source: RNAcentral